UACGAACGGUCCAAACGUUAUUCGGAAUCACUGGGCUUAAAGCGUCCGUAGGCGGCUCGGAAAGUAGGGUGUGAAAUCCCACGGCUCAACCGUGGAAUUGCGCUCUAAACUAUCGAGCUAGAGGGAGAUAGAGGUGAGCGGAACUGAUGGUGGAGCGGUGAAAUGCGUUGAUAUCAUCAGGAACACCGGAGGCGAAGGCGGCUCACUGGGUCUUUUCUGACGCUGAGGGACGAAAGCUAGGGAGCGAACGGG
This 252-nucleotide ribosomal RNA is filed under the name uncultured bacterium. RNAcentral describes it as "partial 16S ribosomal RNA". It matches the Rfam family "Bacterial small subunit ribosomal RNA", at positions 524 to 776 of the family's 1533-position model. The record is from RNAcentral.